Long non-coding RNA from Corythoichthys intestinalis (scribbled pipefish), 1068 nucleotides. RefSeq lists it as uncharacterized. Lineage: Eukaryota; Metazoa; Chordata; Actinopteri; Syngnathiformes; Syngnathidae. The record is from RefSeq and is a predicted model, not a curated record. The transcript has 3 exons.
CUAGCUGGCUCUCCCCUUGAACACUGAGUAGAAAGCUGGAGCUGAGGAAGGCAGGCAAGGCAGGCUGCAGGAUAGGCAGGGAGGCACAGAUACAGGCCCACCGAAGGUAGUCGGAGGCCGGACUGGAGUAUGAGGGGAAGGACUGGGGUGGGAUGGUCCAGAUGAUAUGAGAUCGAGGUAAAGAUGACGAAGGCUAAGAAUGAGACACUGGGAAUGCGAAUAGACAAGAAAAAAUACAUGAAGAAUUAUGGUCAUUUUGAGACUGGCCAAGGACAUUAAAAGCCUCUCUUAGAAGAAAUACUGGAUCAGUUCUUGCAAAGAUGUCUAGAAAGUCUAUAGAGAGAGUUCCAAGUCCAGCAUCAUAGCAGUGGAUUGUGUUUUCAUUUUCCUGCAGUGGAACACUGGUGGGGUAGCGGCUGACAUCCAAUCAGAGGACAGGACUGCAGGCCUUGUCAUAAGAACCAGCGUGACAUCACUGAAAGCAAUGCUGACAGCACUCCUGUAACGAGUCACAUGACAUUUUGGAGGAAAAAUGACAAGCAGUAUGCUAUGGACCCACUGUGAGAUUCCGGAAUAAAGAUCAUACAUACAGUACUCAAUUUGGACAGUCAGGUUGCUAGCUGCUGACUGCCUUGCUGACAGUAACAGGAUGCCCUUGAUUGCACCCCACCACCUCUUCGUCUUCUCACCAUCGCUCCCGCCGUAUUCAUGCCUCUAAGUCUAUAUCAUUACCUAUAGCUUCCAGGCCAUGUACAGAGUAUGAAUGAGGAAAAUUAAUUAACAAGACUCGGUCAAACAAUUACCGUAUUCCCUCUUGCAGCUCACAGCUUCUCUCCACGCUCCUCUCUUGGUUUGAGCGUCUAGCAGGUUUUCAAUUAAUUUUGUCAUGGACAUCAUUGGAGUUCUGGUUUUCGUCAGAGGGCUAUUAUGACAGUGAAAACCAUUUAAAUAUAUAAUGACCUCAUCAUAUUAUUACAGAACACACAUUUGACUCUACAUGAGGUACAUUAAAACAAAAUUAACUAGAUGUCAGAAUUGUGGAAAAAAGUACUAAUUAAGCCGUACAAC